Molecule: ribosomal RNA, 400 nt
Filed under: uncultured bacterium
Lineage: Bacteria
Description: bacterial SSU rRNA
Rfam family: Bacterial small subunit ribosomal RNA
Source: RNAcentral
UGGGGAAUAUUGGACAAUGGGCGCAAGCCUGAUCCAGCCAUGCCGCGUGAGUGAUGACGGCCUUAGGGUUGUAAAGCUCUUUCACCCACGACGAUAAUGACGGUAGUGGGAGAAGAAGCCCCGGCUAACUUCGUGCCAGCAGCCGCGGUAAUACGAAGGGGGCUAGCGUUGUUCGGAAUUACUGGGCGUAAAGCGUACGUAGGCGGACCGUUAAGUCAGAGGUGAAAUCCCGGAGCUCAACUUCGGAAUUGCCUUUGAUACUGGCGGUCUUGAGUCCGGGAGAGGUGAGUGGAACUGCUAGUGUAGAGGUGAAAUUCGUAGAUAUUAGCAAGAACACCAGUGGCGAAGGCGGCUCACUGGCCCGGUACUGACGCUGAGUACGAAAGCGUGGGGAGCAAAC